Chenopodium quinoa (quinoa) is the source of this 759-nucleotide long non-coding RNA. RefSeq lists it as uncharacterized. NCBI's taxonomy places the organism in Eukaryota, Viridiplantae, Streptophyta, Magnoliopsida, Caryophyllales, Amaranthaceae. The record is from RefSeq and is a predicted model, not a curated record. The transcript is spliced from 4 exons.
CCAUUAAUUUCACUCUCUCUUUGCCUCUCCCAGUCUCUCUCAUCCCUCUUUGAAUUUUCCAAUUAAGGCAAUUCAUGUAAACACGUUUUAACCACAAAAUUGCUCAGAGUCAUUAAAUUGCGCAUGCAAUUGGAGUGUUCCGGAGAUUAUUGGAGCGAUUGUUGGUGAGCAAAAGCAAAGUUGGUAUUUAAAGAAUUUCGAGCCGAAAUUGUGGUACUGAGGUAAUUAUGUCUGCGGUUUUUUGUACGGUUAGUAUAAAAGUUUGGCAUGGUGGUUCCUUCAAGCAUGUUAACAAUGGGGAAAUGGUAGGGGUGGGAGGGUGAUCUUAGGAGGCCAAGGUGCAAGAGGUGUAACCCAAGCAGCUGCUAGAAAAGGUGUGUUUCUUAGCCAACCUACUGCAUCAGGUCCGAGAACAAGAGGGAGAGGAACUGGACGAGGCACUGGCAGAGGCAGGACUAAGGUCCCAAUAGGAGUUGGAGUGUUGUUUAGUUCAGAUGGGACACCACUUUCACAGGGGGCUAACACUAGAGGAGGGGGUAGAAGAAAGGGAAGAGGUCGUGGAAGAGGAUCACAGUCCACCCAAUAAACAAAAUCUAAGACCUUUAUUUAGUUUAAUGCCUUGCUAGCAUUUUGUCUGUAAUGAAGUACUAACCACUAUGCUUAUUUUGCAUGAACAAUUAUCAUUUUGUUUCACAAAGUACUGGUGGAUGUACCUAAACUGAAGUUGUUUUGCAAUGCAAUGUACACUUUAUGCUGUUA